GAUGAACGCUGGCGGCGUGCCUAAUACAUGCAAGUCGAGCGAACGGACGAGAAGCUUGCUUUUCUGAUGUUAGCGGCGGACGGGUGAGUAACACGUGGAUAACCUACCUAUAAGACUGGGAUAACUUCGGGAAGCCGGGGCUAAUACCGGAUAAUAUUUUGAACCGCAUGGUUCAAAAGUGAAAGACGGUCUUGCUGUCACUUAUAGAUGGAUCCGCGCUGCAUUAGCUAGUUGGUAAGGUAACGGCUUACCAAGGCAACGAUGCAUAGCCGACCUGAGAGGGUGAUCGGCCACACUGGAACUGAGACACGGUCCAGACUCCUACGGGAGGCAGCAGUAGGGAAUCUUCCGCAAUGGGCGAAAGCCUGACGGAGCAACGCCGCGUGAGUGAUGAAGGUCUUCGGAUCGUAAAACUCUGUUAUUAGGGAAGAACAUAUGUGUAAGUAACUGUGCACAUCUUGACGGUACCUAAUCAGAAAGCCACGGCUAACUACGUG
This 497-nucleotide ribosomal RNA is filed under the name uncultured bacterium. RNAcentral describes it as "partial 16S ribosomal RNA". It matches the Rfam family "Bacterial small subunit ribosomal RNA", at positions 28 to 507 of the family's 1533-position model. The record is from RNAcentral.